AAUUACUUUGGUUUCGAAGGAACUCAUGCACAAUAACCUGCUAACUCCCAAAGUGAAAAUACGGACUUGCUCCUUGUUCAUUUCCAGGUCCACUGGACUGGAGCCAUAAAUGAAGAGUUUUGGCUCAUUAGGAAGGACAGAUUAUCGGGCAUGGUGUGGAGCCACCCAUGCUUUAUGAGGCUGGGAAUGAGUUACACAAAGUCCCGCAGAGUGAGAAAGGAAGAUGUUUGGAAAUAUUUUUCUGCUUAAAGCUCUGAGAUUGCAAGGGUUUUCUUAGCCCUGUGGAAUUUCUCUAAGUGCCUGGGGAUUUCUAGGUUUCUAAGAAGCUUGAGGUGGUUGUUAACCUAAUACACAGUUGAAGGGAGCCAAGACAGCCUUCCUAUGCCAGCUGUGUGGUAGGACGUCUUCUUAAAAGGCUCUUUAAAAUCAGUGAGAGAGAUUCCAUGGUUCACCACCCAGAACAAGGUGCUUUCUUCCAUCUCAUAUGCCAAAAAAGCACUGAAAAUCCAGAGCACCAUUACUGAUUGGAAGACCAAAGGCUUGAUCUAGAAAUCACACACCAGGAGUUGUCUCACAUGGUUAUGGAGGCUGAGAAGUCCCACGAUCUGUAUCUGUAAGCUGGAGAACCAAGAAAGGCAGUGGUGUAAUUCAGUAUAAGUCCACAGGCCUGAAUUGGGUGGUGAGGUGGGCAAUGUUGUAAAUUCCAGUCUGAGUCUGAAAGCCCAAGAACCAGAAGUGCUGACAUCCAAGGGCAGGAGAAGAUGGGUGCCUCAGCUCCAGCAGAGACAGCAAGUUUGCCCUUCCUCCGCCUUUUUGUUCUUUUCAGGCCUUCAGUGGAUUGGGUGACACCUUCCCGAUUGCAUCUGCCCAUCCCAUGAUGACUUCUCCCCUGCAAAGCCAACUGCCUUCUCUCCUUACCAGCCUCCCCACCAAUGAAGUGGGCCGGGGUAGGGGACCAUUGUGUUGCUGUGACCCGUGCCUCCACCUAUGCCUAACCUCUGCCACAGCUGAAUGAACAGGACUAGCACUAGAUUCAAGAGCAGCAUGAUCUCAGGAAAUGAUAGGAUGGAUUACAAACCCCCAUCGGCACUAAGGAUUCCUAGCCAAUCAUCCGGGACUAUUGCUUCAGCAAAGAGAGAGUCUUUGAGCAAAGGCCUGCCUUCACCAUUCUCCCGAGCAGCAGCACAUCUCUUCAGAAAUCUCAAUCUAAUGGGGGAAAGAAGGCUUCUCCCACGCCUGACGUCUUCAAAGAUGGCAACUAGGAAUCCAGAUUAUAUGCAGAACUUCUCUUCCUCCAGGAUGGGUACAGUGGAGCAAAGUUAUAGAUGGACCAGAAAGGCAGCUCAGGAUGGAGAAUAAAGUUUCAGGAAAUUCAGCAAAGUGAGCCCACUGGGAAUUUUUUAAAAUUCUAGGCCAAUGAUUGGAUAGGAAUACAGUCAGUGUUCCCAGUGUGAAGACUUUCCCUUCUGGCUAUUGAUCUUGCAGCAAUCAGACAGCUGUUUGCAGGGGAAUGAUCACUCUUUUCCUUUACAUAAUAUUCAUAAAUGUGCAGGCAAAUUAAAUGUGUCAUAGAUGAGAUUACCAACCAGAGUACCACCCGGCUGUCUCAUGUGAGCUUGGUUUAUGGAUCCAGUGUUCUCCAGCGAGCAUCACAAAUCCACAUAAUGUUCCCAAGUGCUAAAUUUGGAGCUCUGAUUUAGCUGACAGAUGUUUAAAAUCACAUUUAGUUGGACAACUCCCUGAGGAGGACACAGCUGCAGAUGUGAAAGAGAGCAAGUUAUUCCAGUUAAGGUCGGCGGGAACUCAGCCUGAAAACCUUCCGUCUCGAUCCGCCUUCUUCAGACAGGAUGAUAUGGGUGAAGGAACAUUUUCAUGCUGAUUCCACCCACCUUUGGCCAAACCUCAUCCCUUUGUUGAAUGGUUGCCAAGAUAAAUGCAGAAGUUGCAUCUUAGGCAAAGUGUGGGCUGCUCCAGUCAGCUGAAAUUGAGUAAAAGGGUGCUGCUAGCCCUUUAAAAACAGGCACAAAGCCACAUUUUGGAGCCUGCUUUGCCCCUGUGGUGGCAUCUGAGGCCUGCAAAUGAGUAUGAUUCUGGAAUUUUGCACUUCAGGAUCAGUUAUUCAGAUGGAUAGUUGAAGUCCAUGUGCUGAAUGAGGACAGAGAGGAAAAUGGUGCCAUUUACCCUCCCCCCACCCCAACAUCCCAAACAGCUCUCCUUCAUUUUUUAAAAACAACAAAAUUAAAAUUAUCCUGGAAUCUUCUUUGCAAAAAUCACAUAUUUUAGACUUGUUUCAAGACUCAGACUGAAACGAAUUUGUUUAAAAAAAAUUGUCUGUAUUUGAUGUGGGAGACUAGUGACCUUUGGUAUUUUGUGUAAAAAAAAUAAAAUGUUUG
Molecule: long non-coding RNA, 2393 nt
Organism: Equus caballus (horse)
Lineage: Eukaryota; Metazoa; Chordata; Mammalia; Perissodactyla; Equidae
Source: Ensembl